CCAAUAGCGUAUAUUAAAGUUGUUGCAGUUAAAAAGCUCGUAGUUGAAUUUCGGGGUUAGUAGGUUGGUCGUGCCUCUGGUAUGUACUGGUCUCACUGAUUCCUCCUUCCUGAUGAGCCGUAAUGCCAUUAAUUUGGUGUUGCGGGGAAUUUGGACUGUUACUUUGAAAAAAUUAUAGUGUUUAAAGCAGGCUAACGCUUGAAUACAUUAGCAUGGAAUAAUGAAAUAGGACGUUCGAUCCUAUUUUGUUGGUUUCUAGGAUUGACGUAAUGAUUAAUAGGGAUAGUUGGGGGCAUUAGUAUUCAAUUGUCAGAGGUGAAAUUCUUGGAUUUAUUGAAGACUAACUACUGCGAAAGCAUUUGCCAAGGAUGUUUUCAUUAAUCAAGAACGAAAGUUAGGGGAUCGAAGACGAUCAGAUACCGUCGUAGUCUUAACCAUAAACUAUGCCGACUAGGGAUCGGAUGAUGUUAAUUUUUUAAUGACUCAUUCGGCGCCUUACG
RNAcentral lists this ribosomal RNA (500 nucleotides) under uncultured Glomeromycotina. RNAcentral's name for it is "partial small subunit ribosomal RNA". It matches the Rfam family "Eukaryotic small subunit ribosomal RNA", at positions 591 to 1092 of the family's 1831-position model. Lineage: Eukaryota; Fungi; Glomeromycota. The record is from RNAcentral.